GUCCCUAUAGCUCAGUUGGUAGAGCAUGGUGUUUGCAACGCCAGGGUUGUGGGUUCGAUUCCCACGGGGGGCC
RNAcentral lists this transfer RNA (73 nucleotides) under Salmo salar (Atlantic salmon). It matches the Rfam family "tRNA". From Rfam's summary of the family: Transfer RNA (tRNA) molecules are approximately 80 nucleotides in length. Their secondary structure includes four short double-helical elements and three loops (D, anti-codon, and T loops). Lineage: Eukaryota; Metazoa; Chordata; Actinopteri; Salmoniformes; Salmonidae. The record is from Rfam by way of RNAcentral.